AGAGUUUGAUCAUGGCUCAGGAGAACGCUGGCGGCGUGCCUAAUACAUGCAAGUCGAGCGGACAGAUGGGAGCUUGCUCCCUGAUGUUAGCGGCGGACGGGUGAGUAACACGUGGGUAACCUGCCUGUAAGACUGGGAUAACUCCGGGAAACCGGGGCUAAUACCGGAUGCUUGUUUGAACCGCAUGGUUCAGACGUAAAAGGUGGCUUCGGCUACCACUUACAGAUGGACCCGCGGCGCAUUAGCUAGUUGGUGAGGUAACGGCUCACCAAGGCGACGAUGCGUAGCCGACCUGAGAGGGUGAUCGGCCACACUGGGACUGAGACACGGCCCAGACUCCUACGGGAGGCAGCAGUAGGGAAUCUUCCGCAAUGGACGAAAGUCUGACGGAGCAACGCCGCGUGAGUGAUGAAGGUUUUCGGAUCGUAAAGCUCUGUUGUUAGGGAAGAACAAGUGCCGUUCAAAUAGGACGGCACCUUGACGGUACCUAACCAGAAAGCCACGGCUAACUACGUGCCAGCAGCCGCGGUAAUACGUAGGUGGCAAGCGUUGUCCGGAAUUAUUGGGCGUAAAGGGCUCGCAGGCGGUUUCUUAAGUCUGAUGUGAAAGCCCCCGGCUCAACCGGGGAGGGUCAUUGGAAACUGGGGAACUUGAGUGCAGAAGAGGAGAGUGGAAUUCCACGUGUAGCGGUGAAAUGCGUAGAGAUGUGGAGGAACACCAGUGGCGAAGGCGACUCUCUGGUCUGUAACUGACGCUGAGGAGCGAAAGCGUGGGGAGCGAACAGGAUUAGAUACCCUGGUAGUCCACGCCGUAAACGAUGAGUGCUAAGUGUUAGGGGGUUUCCGCCCCUUAGUGCUGCAGCUAACGCAUUAAGCACUCCGCCUGGGGAGUACGGUCGCAAGACUGAAACUCAAAGGAAUUGACGG
RNAcentral lists this ribosomal RNA (926 nucleotides) under uncultured Bacillus sp. RNAcentral describes it as "bacterial SSU rRNA". It matches the Rfam family "Bacterial small subunit ribosomal RNA", at positions 8 to 916 of the family's 1533-position model. Lineage: Bacteria; Bacillati; Bacillota; Bacilli; Caryophanales; Bacillaceae. The record is from RNAcentral.